GACGAACGCUGGCGGCGUGCCUAAUACAUGCAAGUCGAACGCAGUGGGGACGGGUGAGUAACACGUGGGUAACCUCCCAUCAGAGGGGAUAACACUUGGAAACAGGUGCUAAACCGAUACUGAUGGAUGGACCCGCGGUGCAUGAGCUAGUUGGUGAGGUAACGGCUCACCAAGGCCACGAUGCAUAGCCGGCCUGAGAGGGUGACAGGCCAAACGGGGACUGUGACACGGCCCAGAGUCCUACGAGAUGCAGCAGGAGGGAAUCUUCUGCAAUGGGCGAAAGUCUGACCGAGCAACGCCGCGAUAGUGAAGAAGGUUUUCGGAUAGUAAAACUCUGUUGUUAGAGAAGAGGUAUAGAACGAGAAAGCCAUGGCUAACUACGUGCCAGCAGCCGCGGUAAUUC
This 403-nucleotide ribosomal RNA is filed under the name uncultured bacterium. Its description in RNAcentral is "partial 16S ribosomal RNA". It matches the Rfam family "Bacterial small subunit ribosomal RNA", at positions 28 to 526 of the family's 1533-position model. The record is from RNAcentral.